This is a long non-coding RNA of Rhinopithecus roxellana (golden snub-nosed monkey), 707 nucleotides long. RefSeq lists it as uncharacterized. The transcript has 4 exons. The record is from RefSeq and is a predicted model, not a curated record. Lineage: Eukaryota; Metazoa; Chordata; Mammalia; Primates; Cercopithecidae.
GGAGGGAUUGGGAAGGGGAUGGGGAUGAAGUUCAUAAAAGCACAGUGGCUAGACCUGUAACUCAUGGCAGUGGCCAACUAUUUGUCCAAUGAGCAGUAAAUGGCCUCUAAAGUUUCUCCAUUGUGUCUAUGACCUUGCAUUUCAGCAUCUGAAAAGAAACCACAAGAGGCUGGGUUGGUGCAAUGUUCCUUUCUUCCCAGGACUUUCUGGUCUUCAAGGCUUUCUUAUGAGAUGGAAGACCGACGGAUGUAGAAGUUUCUAAGAGGACAGGCUGUGAAGUUUGGGGGAGGUCUUGACGGUGGUGGAAAUGGUGGGAUCCACGCAUGGCAUCUGGAAGAAGGAGAGAAAGGAAGAGAAAGAGGCAAGGAGGGAGGAGGAAAAUGAGGCCUUGAAAUAUCAUACACAGUUCCUUGGAUGGAAGGAGGAGCGAGCUCAUUUUCCAGAUGAGGAAAGGAACUGAAGCACAGAGGAAGAAGUUACACAGGAAAUUGCAGACCUGAAAUUUAUAUCCAGCUCUCACUAGCUCUGAAGGUUGCGAGAAGAUUUUACAGUGAUCUUUCUGACUGCGUGGAGAAGAAGGCCUCAGGGGAAGAGGAGAACCAGUCAUUGGUGUGGCCUAAGUCGAAGGAGGAACUGUGGUGAGUCUUCUCCCUGACCCCCUUUUCCCACCCAUCCUGACAUACUUCUUCUGUUUUGCAUUCCCAGUG